GACGAACGCUGGCGGCGUGCUUAACACAUGCCAGUCGAACGGAAAGGCCCUGCUUUUGUGGGGUUCUCGUGUGGCGAACGGGUGAGUAACACGUGAGUAACCUGUCCUUGACUUUGGGAUAACUUCAGGAAACUGGGGCUAAUACCGGAUAGGAGCUCCUGCUGCAUGGUGGGGGUUGGAAAGUUUCGGCGGUUGGGGAUGGACUCGCGGCUUAUCAGCUUGUUGGUGGGGUAGUGGCUUACCAAGGCUUUGACGGGUAGCCGGCCUGAGAGGGUGACCGGCCACAUUGGGACUGAGAUACGGCCCAGACUCCUACGGGAGGCAGCAGUGGGGAAUAUUGCACAAUGGGCGGAAGCCUGAUGCAGCAACGCCGCGUGCGGGAUGACGGCCUUCGGGUUGUAAACCGCUUUCGCCUGUGACGAAGCGUGAGUGACGGUAAUGGGUAAAGAAGCACCGGCUAACUACGUG
Molecule: ribosomal RNA, 468 nt
Filed under: uncultured bacterium
Lineage: Bacteria
Description: partial 16S ribosomal RNA
Rfam family: Bacterial small subunit ribosomal RNA
Source: RNAcentral